UGGGGCUUGAGCCACAUCCUGAACUCUAUUUUGAAUUUUAUUUAGAGACAGGGUCUCACUGAGUUGCUUAGUGCCUCACUUUUACUGAGGCUGGCUUUGAACUCUCCAUCCUUCUGCCUCAGCCUCCAGAGCUGCUGGGAUUACAGGUGUGAGCCACCACGCCCCAGCAUUUUAGUAUAACAUUUAGUAUAGGGAUAGAUGUCUCCAACUUACCCUGAUGUUUUUUAUUAAGCUCAUUCAAAGUUAAAGCCUUGAGCUACCUUAAUCACUAGUGCAUUCAAGUCCGUAAUAGUUUAUGUAAACUUAUUAUUUUCAACAUGGCUACUCUAUUUUAAUUAUCAAAGAUGUCUUAAAUACUUUUAAAAUGACAUGUGAAGAACAUACACACAAAUUAGAAUGUGUAAUUUAUUAAAAUAGACCAAAUGAAUUUUUACCUUGGAAGAGUCUUUAAAGUUUUUUUUAAUGGUUAAAGAAGAUUAAAUUGGAUUACAUUGACACUUUGUAGAGUUUGAUGGUAACUGAUGGUAUGAGUCAGUCUAAUAAAUUCCACUUCGAAAAUAUGUCUUGUCAUAUAUGGAAGCUAGUAAUUUUGAUUGCUGUUGGAAAGCUGAAGAACUCAUGUCCUCUUUCCUUGCCCCAUAUCCAUCGUUGUGAAAGCUGCCCCCACCUUUAGUAUAUGUUGUCAGUCAGCCCUAUAAUGUUUCCCUUCUUUUGUUUUUAGGGAUUAU
This 728-nucleotide long non-coding RNA is filed under the name Marmota monax (woodchuck). The record is from RNAcentral. Lineage: Eukaryota; Metazoa; Chordata; Mammalia; Rodentia; Sciuridae.